ACAUGAGGAGGCCAGAUACAUGACCGGAGCUGGCUGUGAGAAGAGAUGCAAAGGUGUUCUGGGCAGGAGGAACAGCAGGUGCAAAGGUGCACACCACCUGAAGGGGUAUUAGAACAGAUAGCUGGGCCUCACUCCCAGAGUUUUUGAGGCUUCCUGAGGCUUAAGAAUUUGCAGCUCUAACAAUUCCCAGGUGAUGUUGGUGCUGCCGGCUGCAGAACCACAGCUUGAGAAACACUGGCCUCAGCGUCUGCAAAGUCCAAACCUAACAAAUUUGUAUUUUAUCCUUCAGGCCAGAGCUCCUCAAACAGGAGAGUCAUUUGGGAGCUUGUUAAGCAAGCAAUUAACAGGCCACCCCCAGAGAUGCUGAUGCUUCGGGCUGGGCGGAACCUGACAAUGUGUCUGGACUGGGAGGGCCCUGGAGGGCUGGGAGUAGGGGCACUGGGCAGGCAUCUUGGUAAUGCAGGAGGGAGAUGGUGGGGGCCUCACCAAUCGAGGCAAGGGCCUAGUGGUGGGAAAGGCAGGAUGGAUUUGAGAAGCAACUGAACAGGUCUGAAGAUGGCUUGAGGGCACUGACAACUGAAGGGUGUGUAGGAACACAGCCACCCCCUGGAGACUCUAGCCUUGGAGGUCCUGGACCAGACCUCAGGGUCCCCAGCCAACGAGCACUGUCAGCUCUGGCAGCUCAUAGCCCCUUUGUCAGGCAGAAAGGCCCCCUCCAGGUGGCCAAUUUCAGGUUUCAAGUGUCAGCUAGAUUUUCUGCUCACUGUCCCCCAUAACCUGCUAGAAAGUUCACUGCCAAAUUGAUUUCCAAAUUUCGUGAAACAAAUGUAUUCCCAGGUGAAAACUACUGUAUCCGAUUUCUUCUGCAGAUGACCCAGCCAACAUGGAAAUCUGCUUUGUCUGACUUUUGAAUUCACCAGAGUCAACUUCCAUUGCUCAGACAACUAGACGGAGCCCCAGUUCCCACUGCGACCCAGCCAGAUGAAGAGAGUGGGGCCCUGAGUCCGUCAGCCAGCCCUAGACUCUCCACAAGCCAGGCCCCAGGCUCCGCCUGCCAGCCAGGAGGCAGACAGUCCACAGACCCCAAAAAGCACCCAUGCCUACCCACCCCUACCAGGAAUGGCAGCUGUUUCUCUGCCAGAAGUAGGGCCAGGAGAAGCCCAAAAAGGCCCCGCACCCACCAGGCCCUUGUGGACCCUCAGUCAUACCUGUCCCCUCGAGAUUCUCUCUGGGCCAUUGCAGUCCACCUACAUUUGGAUGCAGGAUGAAAGGCUCACACGUGGCCGGGUGCAGUGGCUCACUCCUGUAAUCCCAGCACAUUAGGAGGCCAAGGCAGGCGGAUCAUGAAGUCAGGAGUUCGAGACCAGCCUGGCUAACAUGGAGAACUCCCAUCUCUACUAAAAAUACAAAAAUUAGCUGGGUGUGCUGGCGGGAGCCUGUAGUCCCAGCUACUAGGGAGGCCGAGGCAGAACUACUUGAACCUGGGAGGCGGAGGUUGCGGUGAGCCGAGACCGCGCCAUUGCACUCCAGCCUGAGUGACAGAGCAAGAUUCUGUCUCAAAAAAAAAAAAAAA
Molecule: long non-coding RNA, 1573 nt
Organism: Macaca fascicularis (crab-eating macaque)
Lineage: Eukaryota; Metazoa; Chordata; Mammalia; Primates; Cercopithecidae
Source: Ensembl